UUUAAAGGCACGUACUCAUGAGAGUAACGACGUAAAGUGAAGUGAAAAUUAAACUGAGUUGAAAACGGUCAAACGAUUUCCAUCGCAUUAAAAUUUGAUAAAAAUGGAACAUUGUAAACAGAAAAAUUCUUUUAUUGUUACAUACAUACAUAUGUGUGAAACCAUAGAGAUAUAAAGAUAGAGUGCGUGAACGAGCUGUAAAGGCGAUAUAGCCAUAAAAAGAGAAUGUGCCUUACAGGUAAAUAUGUAAGUAUAGCACCGAUCAACGAGCGGCAUUAUUUGCCUAUGAUGGAAGGGGCCUCUAUGUAAUGUUUUCUUUUCAGUCUCAUAUCGCAUCCACUUACACGAUAACAUAGUAACGUAUGUUUUAUAUGACUGGCGUACUAUAUCUUCAUAUAUAUUUUUAACCUCUAUAUAUGAAACUAGUUGCUGCUACGUAGCUUUCUUAUUUAUACGUAUAAAUUUGCAUCUUCAGUACAAGUAGAGCAACUUCUUUUGGCAAGGACAGGGCGACACCUGAACUGACGUCAGGGAUUGGGUUUUCCGAAAGGUUCUGGUAUCUCUAGUUCAGAAAAUUCGGCAAUCUGUAUUGUUACAUACAAAUAGAUGUUUAUACAUGUCAAUGUAAUACUCCUUCUAAAUUACACUUCGUAAAACUUGUUUAAAACAGUUUCUGGUUUUUAUUGGAAGUUGGAAUAUUCUAUUCGAAUGUCCACCUGUACAACCUUACUAUAAACUAUUUCGUCUAAGACCUCACAGUGUUCCUCUGUGAGUUUUUCUGUCGGAAUAAAAUUAAUCUCUUUUAAUCCUUGUACUGCGCAGAACGAUUAUAGCUUAUCAUCGCUAACGCGAAAUGUCAUGCCUAUAUAUAACAGAAAAUAAAAUAAAUAACAAUAUGUAUAACAUUACAGAAAAAUGUAAAAUGUCAGUAACAAACUUUCUCAGAAAAAAGCUUGCGUGUGUUGAAUAAAUUUUUGUUAAAUAAUUGGCAAUUAAUCUAGGUAUUCUUUAUUUCUUGGGUAACAAGCAAACCAAUCUAAUUAUCAUAAGCAUUUAUUAUUUCAAAUAACCUUUAUGUAAUAUUGACUUACGCCAAAUUUAACACCCCUGCCUCCUAAAUGCUCAAGAUAUGGCUCAAAGUAAAGUCUUGUAUAAACGCUACCUUAUCCAAAAAUAAAUAAAAGAUAGAAAAUAUAAUACAUAUGCAAUACAUUAAGGAUUACGAAAAAUAAUAAGAAUUUACCACAGUCAAUAAACAAAAGAAAAUUUGAAUCGUCAUAAGCCAAUCAUUGCUCGGAUCAAGUCUUGUAUAAUAAGAAGUGGAUCCAAAAUAUGCAGAAUAGAAAUAAAAAAAAUUGGAGUUUGUCUUUCAAAUUGAUUUUGAAAAUCUGCUAAGUAUGUAUGCAUUUGUAAGUGAGAUGAAAUUUAUAGAACAAACAGGAAAUCAUUUCACCAAAAAUGUAGAAUAAAGUUUUUUUCAUCUAAAACUUAUCUAGGUUUUAAGAAAAUUGAUUUUGGAAGGUUUGUGGAGUGGGCAGAUGAUUUCUUAUGCAAAAACAGACUUUGAAAGUUAGCUGCGUAUGCAAUAGUAUGCAUACACUUACAUACGUAAUUAUAUGCAUACAAUACGGUACAGUAACACCAUUGUUUCUAUAUUUAGAAUGCCUACGCGACUUUUAUAAAUUAUUAGAUUAUUAGAUUCAACAAUGUACAAAUUCAACAAAGCACAAAGAAAAAUUUUAUCAAGAAUACCAAAAUCGAUUCUCUCGAAAACCAAGGUCUAAAUGAAAAGAUUUUAUUCUACGUUCUCUAUUUAUUUUAUUUUGUUACAUAAAUCAUCAGUAAAUUACAAAUAUUUAUGCAAACCCAACAUUUGUAUAAAUGCAACUAUACAAAUGGAACCAAAGCGUAGACGUAUUUUCCCUAUGAUUUAUUUUCAAUAUCAUUCGAUAGGUCUUUCAAAUUUAAGAAAACAUACAAAGUCAUUGACUCUCGCCCUAUUCACAAAAAAGAAAUACAAGAGCAAAGAUUUAUUAAUAUUAUAAAUUAUUACAUUAAUAAACCGUAGCAAAGAUUAGUUUCACUUAUUUGUUAAAGCAUACCUUACUUUAGAUAAUCGAUACAUUUUUCCAUGUAAUGCGCAUUUUGUGUAUUUCUCUAUAAGUGCGUAAAAAAACUCACUUCCUAUGCACUCGUAUAUUUAUAAUCGCACACCAUAUGUCCACCAAUGCCUCCAAUUUCACGGAAAAGAUAUAGCAUCGUUGACUCUGUCUCAUCACCGAAGCUGCUUUCAAAAUGUGAUAUAUAUAAAUUUUUGGUUGUGAAACAGUCAUUUGUCUAGGAAAUCCAUGGGUCAACAAUAUUUGAUAAUAUUA
Molecule: long non-coding RNA, 2375 nt
Organism: Bombus pyrosoma
Lineage: Eukaryota; Metazoa; Arthropoda; Insecta; Hymenoptera; Apidae
Exons: 3
Source: RefSeq, a predicted model, not a curated record